CGCGGGGUGGAGCAGCCCGGUAGCUCGUCAGGCUCAUAACCUGAAGGUCACAGGUUCAAAUCCUGUCCCCGCAACC
Molecule: transfer RNA, 76 nt
Filed under: Acetobacter aceti
Lineage: Bacteria; Pseudomonadati; Pseudomonadota; Alphaproteobacteria; Acetobacterales; Acetobacteraceae
Description: tRNA-Met
Rfam family: tRNA
About the family: Transfer RNA (tRNA) molecules are approximately 80 nucleotides in length.
Source: RNAcentral